RNAcentral lists this ribosomal RNA (344 nucleotides) under uncultured archaeon. RNAcentral's name for it is "bacterial SSU rRNA". The stretch from base 1 to 283 matches the Rfam family "Archaeal small subunit ribosomal RNA", at positions 1057 to 1342 of the family's 1478-position model. The record is from RNAcentral.
CUUCUAUAAUGCUGCUCAUCUCCAGAUCUCUGGUGCCUUUGGGGGCACCGCCUGCUCUAGAGGAGGAGAGGAUGGGCAACGGUGCGUCAGUAUGCCCCGAAUUCUCGGGGUACACGCGGGCUACAAUGGGUGGGGGACAGUGGGUCCCGACCUCAAAGGGAGAGAGAUCUCCUAAAACCCAUCUUAAUUUGGAAUUGGGGGUGGAACUCCCCCUCCUGAAACUGGAAACCCCUAUAAUCCCGUUUCCACCAAACGCGGUGAAAACCUUCCUUGCUCUUUGCACCUAAACUACUGCUUCCCCAAAAGCUGAGCAAAAAUUCCCAGUCCCUGCUCCUUGCACAAAU